GAAAAAACAAUUGUUGUGUUCAAGUUGUGCUAAAAGCAGUUAGCCUGUCAGAAAGCUAUGCUAGCCUAAAAUAGCCUCAAUGCUAAACAUGUAGCAUCUAAUGCAAAU
Long non-coding RNA from Xiphophorus couchianus (Monterrey platyfish), 108 nucleotides. RefSeq lists it as uncharacterized. The record is from RefSeq and is a predicted model, not a curated record. Lineage: Eukaryota; Metazoa; Chordata; Actinopteri; Cyprinodontiformes; Poeciliidae. The transcript has 3 exons.